This 397-nucleotide ribosomal RNA is filed under the name uncultured bacterium. RNAcentral describes it as "bacterial SSU rRNA". It matches the Rfam family "Bacterial small subunit ribosomal RNA", at positions 30 to 432 of the family's 1533-position model. The record is from RNAcentral.
AUUGAACGCUGGCGGCAUGCCUUACACAUGCAAGUCGAACGGCAGCACGGGAGCAAUCCUGGUGGCGAGUGGCGAACGGGUGAGUAAUAUAUCGGAACGUGCCCGGUCGUGGGGAUAACGUAGCGAAAGCUACGCUAAUACCGCAUACGAUCUACGGAUGAAAGCGGGGGAUCGCAAGACCUCGCGCGAUUGGAGCGGCCGAUAUCAGAUUAGGUAGUUGGUGAGGUAAAGGCUCACCAAGCCGACGAUCUGUAGCUGGUCUGAGAGGACGACCAGCCACACUGGGACUGAGACACGGCCCAGACUCCUACGGGAGGCAGCAGUGGGGAAUUUUGGACAAUGGGCGCAAGCCUGAUCCAGCAAUGCCGCGUGCAGGAUGAAGGCCUUGGUGUAACUG